GAUGAAGAACGCAGCGAAAUGCGAUAAGUAAUGUGAAUUGCAGAAUUCAGUGAAUCAUCGAAUCUUUGAACGCACAUUGCGCCCGCUGGUAUUCCGGCGGGCAUGCCUGUUCGAGCGUCAUUUCAACCCUCAAGCUCUCCGGAGUUUGGUGUUGGGGCGCCUGGGGCUUUUCGACCUCAGGGCCCUCAAGUCCAUCGGCGGGACCGCCAGGACACUGAGCGCAGUAGUAUUAUUUCGCUCGGUAGGAUCUUCCACGGCGGGUCGAUCUGGCCGCUAAACCCCCCAAUUCUCACCAAAGGUUGACCUCGGAUCAGGUAGGAAUACCCGCUGAACUUAAGCAUAUCAAAAGCGGAGGA
This 356-nucleotide unclassified non-coding RNA is filed under the name soil metagenome. RNAcentral describes it as "partial contains 5.8S ribosomal RNA, internal transcribed spacer 2, and large subunit ribosomal RNA". The stretch from base 1 to 120 matches the Rfam family "5.8S ribosomal RNA", at positions 35 to 154 of the family's 154-position model. The record is from RNAcentral.